This 670-nucleotide ribosomal RNA is filed under the name uncultured eukaryote. Its description in RNAcentral is "SSU rRNA". It matches the Rfam family "Eukaryotic small subunit ribosomal RNA", at positions 643 to 1317 of the family's 1831-position model. The record is from RNAcentral.
AUGUCGGGCUCGGGCAGGCUGUCGGCUUCGGUCGGACGGCAGGCUCGGGUCUUUCUGCCUGAGGAACCCGUGGCACUUAACUGUGCGGCGUGGGGACGCAGGCCGUUUACUUUGAAAAAAUUAGAGUGUUCAAAGCAGGCCUACGCUUGAAUACAUUAGCAUGGAAUAAUGGAAUAGGACUUUGGUGCUAUUUUGUUGGUUUAUGGGACCGAAGUAAUGAUUAACAGGGACAGUUGGGGCCGUUUAUAUUUCGUUGUCAGAGGUGAAAUUCUUGGAUUUACGAAAGAUAAACUUCUGCGAAAGCAUUCGGCAAGGAUGUUUUCAUUGAUCAAGAACGAAAGUUAGGGGAUCGAAGACGAUCAGAUACCGUCGUAGUCUUAACCAUAAACUAUGCCGACUAGGGAUCAGUGGAUGUCAAUUUGCGACUCCAUUGGCACCUUGUGAGAAAUCAAAGUUUUUGGGUUCCGGGGGGAGUAUGGUCGCAAGGCUGAAACUUAAAGGAAUUGACGGAAGGGCACCACCAGGAGUGGAGCCUGCGGCUUAAUUUGACUCAACACGGGGAAACUUACCAGGUCCAGACAUAGUAAGGAUUGACAGAUUGAAAGCUCUUUCUUGAUUCUAUUGGGGGGUGGUGCAUGGCCGUUCUUAGUUGGUGGAGUGAUUUGGUCUG